GCAGAAUUCAGUGAAUCAUCGAAUCUUUGAACGCAAAUGGCGCUCUUGGGUUCUCCCAGGAGCAUGUCUGUCUGAGUGUCUUUUUCGUUGAAUGACAUUCGCACGAUGUGGCCGUGUCAUGCACUGGCGUUUCGUGCGGCGUUGAGGUUCGCGGCCUUGCUAUUCUUAGGCCGCGUGCCUUUAAAUGGAGGAGGAAGAUGGGCUCAAGGUCCGGUGCAGUUGCAUGCGGAUUCAGUUCAUGUGCCGCAUGUGACUGCUGCACCGGGGAAUAUUGUCCUCGGCCCUCUACCUCGUGACCUUUAGCACGACGCUCGUUCGUUCGUUGCUUGCCGCCAGACCUCAGAUCAGGCAAGGCUACCCGCUGAAUUUAAGCAUAUUAAUAAGCGGAGGAAAAGAAACUAACAAGGAUUCCCCCAGUAACGGCGAGUGAAGCGGGAAGAGCUCAAAUUUGAAAUCUCCGAUGCCUGCAUCGGCGAGUUGUAGUUGCGAGAAGCACUUUCUAGGCGGAAGGGCCCUGCCUAAGUUGCUUGGAACAGCACGUCGCAGAGGGUGACAACCCCGUCU
This 564-nucleotide small RNA is filed under the name Stylophora sp. D RA-2016. RNAcentral describes it as "eukaryotic LSU rRNA". The stretch from base 335 to 564 matches the Rfam family "Eukaryotic large subunit ribosomal RNA", at positions 1 to 226 of the family's 3401-position model. The record is from RNAcentral. Lineage: Eukaryota; Metazoa; Cnidaria; Anthozoa; Scleractinia; Pocilloporidae.